CUGUGAGGGCUCUCAGCCACAUGGAUAGUUCAAUGUGCUCAUAGAAUAGAAGAAGCGUCGGACUCCUUCAUGCAUGC
RNAcentral lists this transfer RNA (77 nucleotides) under Atalantia buxifolia. RNAcentral describes it as "tRNA-Ile". The record is from RNAcentral. RNAcentral also lists the same sequence under 1 other name. Lineage: Eukaryota; Viridiplantae; Streptophyta; Magnoliopsida; Sapindales; Rutaceae.